GAUGAAGAACGUAGCGAAAUGCGAUAAGUAAUGCGAAUUGCAGAAUCCGUGAGUCAUCGAAUCUUUGAACGCACAUUGCGCCCGCUAGUAUUCUGGCGGGCAUGCCUGUCCGAGCGUCAUUUCAACCCUCAAGCCCCCGGGCUUGGUGUUGGGGAUCGGCGAGCCUCCGCGCCCGCCGUCCCCUAAAUCUAGUGGCGGUCUCGCUGUAGCUUCCUCUGCGUAGUAGCACACCUCGCACUGGGAAACAGCGCGGCCACGCCGUUAAACCCCCAACUUCUGAACGUUUGACCUCGGAUCAGGUAGGAAUACCCGCUGAACUUAAGCAUAUCAAUAAGCGGAGGA
RNAcentral lists this unclassified non-coding RNA (342 nucleotides) under soil metagenome. Its description in RNAcentral is "partial contains 5.8S ribosomal RNA, internal transcribed spacer 2, and large subunit ribosomal RNA". The stretch from base 1 to 119 matches the Rfam family "5.8S ribosomal RNA", at positions 35 to 154 of the family's 154-position model. The record is from RNAcentral.